UGGGAUUACAGGUGCCCACCACCACGCCCGGCUAAUUUUUUGUAUUUUUAGUAGAGACUGGGUUUCACCCUGUUAGCCAGGAUGGUCUCGAUCUCCUGACCUCGUGAUCCACCCGCCUUGGCCUCCCAAAGUGUUGGGAUUACAGGAGUGAGCCACCGCGCCCGGCCUAUAUUUUUUAUUUCUAUAGAAUCAGUAGUAAUGUUCCCACUUUUAUUUCUGGUCUUGUAAAUUUUAACCUUCUCUCUUUUUUCGUUAGUCCAUCUAGCUAAAAGUUUGUCAAUUUUGUUGAUCCUUCCAAAGAACCAACUUUUAGUUUCAUUUGUGUUCUCCAUGUUUUUAUAUUCUCUAUUUUGUCUAUCUCUAAUCUUUAUUAUUUCCUUCCUUCUGCUAGCUUUGGCUUUAGUUUGGUCUUCUUUGUGUAUUUCCUUAAGUUAUAAAGUUAGGUAGGUUAUUGAUUUGAAAUCUUAUGUAUUAGUUUCAGCGUUUAUGGCUGUAAGUUUCCCCCUUAGCACUGCUUUUGCUGCAUCUCCUAAGGUUGGUAUGUUGUGUCUUUGCUUCCAUUUGUUCCUAAGUAUUUCCUAAUUUUCUUUGUGAUUUCUUUUUUGAUCCAUUGACUGUUGAAGGGUGUUUUUUUUUAAAAAAGAGUAUAUUGUUUAAUUCCACCAUUUUGUGAAUUUUCCACUUUUACUUCUGUUAUUGAUUUCUAACCUCAUCCCACUGUGGUCAGAGAAGAAACUUUGCGCAGCGUGAUUUUAAAAAAUCUAUUGAGAGUUAAUUUGUGGCCUAACAUAUGGUCUACCCUUGAAAAUAUCCCAUGUACACUUGAGAAGAAUGUAUAUGCUAUUAUUGGCUAGAGUGUUCUGUAUGUCUGUUAGAUCUAGUUGGUUGAUUGUGUUAAGUCCUUUCCUUUCCUUUCCUUUCCUUUCCUUUCCUUUCCUUUCCUUUCCUUUCCUUUCCUUUCCCUUUCCUUUCCCUUUCCUUUCUUUUCCUUUCUUUUCUUUUCUUAGGGUUUCACUCCUGUCACCCAGGCUGGAGUGCAACAGCACAAUCUCGGCUCACUGCAACCUCUGCCUCCCGGGCUCAAGCGAUUCUCCUGUCUCAGCCUCCCAAGUAGCUGGGACUACAGGCAUACACCACUGCGCCUGGCUAAUUUUUGUAUUUUUUAUACAGACAGGGCUUUACCGUGUUGCCCAGAGUGGUCUUGAACUCCUAAGCUCAAGUGAUCUACCCGACUUGGCUUCCCAAAGUGCUGGCAUUACAGGUGUGAGCCACCAUGCCCAGCAAGUCCUUUAUUUCUUUACUUAUCUUCUUAUCUUCUGCCUGGUGGUUCUAUCCAUAUGGGGGCGGGUAUUAUCUCCAACUAUUAUUGUAAAACUAUUUCUCCCU
RNAcentral lists this long non-coding RNA (1386 nucleotides) under Homo sapiens (human). RNAcentral describes it as "HSALNT0145436". Lineage: Eukaryota; Metazoa; Chordata; Mammalia; Primates; Hominidae. The record is from RNAcentral.